This is a non-coding RNA of Electrophorus electricus (electric eel), 2110 nucleotides long. The record is from RefSeq and is a predicted model, not a curated record. NCBI's taxonomy places the organism in Eukaryota, Metazoa, Chordata, Actinopteri, Gymnotiformes, Gymnotidae.
AACACAUGAGCAGAUAUAAUAUCGGCUUGCUUGAUUUUUAAAAUGUUUCAAGCCGAGUUACAUAUGACGAACUCGAUAUAACUGCACCCUAUUUGUUGAACAACUAAACUUUAAAACCUGUCUUUCGUGUUUUGCGGUUAGGGCUCAACUGAGAGAGAAAUAGAGAGAUCGAGCGAGCGAGCGAGCUUUCAAAUUACAAGUGGAUGCGGAAAGGCGCUCAGGGUUCACAUGAUCAAUUUUUGGAAGAACAAAAAACAAAUUAAGGCUUAGAAGGAGAUAAUUUAUGACAGGUUAUUAUGUCAACAAAGAAUGAAGGGCUGGCCCAUUGUAAAUUCAUCCUGGUGUUUGCCAUCAUUAUGGACAUCUUUGGGAUCACUACCGUGCUGAUGGGAGUCUUUGCCCCAUUAGAGGUCAAAGGUCAUGACUUUGGUGAUUUGCUGGUAUAUACAGGUACAGUUCUGGUCAUGCUGUCUAUGGCUGGCUGGGUCAUGUGGUACAGCGGCAAUAUCGAAGGCUUGACCUCAAUAAAAGACCUUGAAGCCAGACGUACUCCCUUGGAUCGUCUGGCUUGCUCACUCAGUCAGCGGAUACGAAGGAGCCGUCGCAGUCAUCACAGUCGUCCCCCAGUCGCGGACCUCAACUGACUGGAAUAGAGUACAUAUAGCUAUCAAGGCCCAAAGUUCAGCUUCUGAAGCAUUAGCUUAUCCCUAAAUAUAGCAUGAUGAAAGUAACAGGAGGAGUACAGUUGCAGAGGGUUUUAAUACAUGAUUUUGAGACAAUUUGAUAUAGUCAAAAGGCACAGAAUUAUAAGAUGAUUUUCUCUAAAUCUUACCAUGACUGUGCAUGGUGAAGUCUAAUAUAACAAAUUAAAGACUGUGCUAUCAAAGCUAUUAUUUCAAUGACCCCACACUCAAAACAAGCACACAAAGGGGAAUCUCUGAUGUAAUGGUACAUAUUUAUUUCUUUGAAUAAUAUUGUUGUUUCUACAACUUAUCUGUAAAAUCACUUUAAAGGCAAGUGUAUAUGGAGACCAUUUGCUAAACUAUGUUGUACAUUACCAGAUCUAAAAUGCACAGUAUAUAAAAGAUCUCUGUCAAAGGAGUAAUAAGUCUUUUUUUUUUUUUUUUGGCCAGUGAUUCUUCACAUUAUGUAACAACCAUUGUACCGACAUCUAAUGGCCUGUUAACAUCAGAGAUUCUGUACCAACUUAAAUUUAAAAAUGGCCACUUCCAUGUGGGGAAUCCAUUCGAUGACUUUCAUAAGUAUUACUUUAUGGUGGAAAAAAACCUUUAAAUGUUAAAAUUUUAUGUGGGUGGUAUGCAUUUUCUUAUUAUAGCAAGUAUAAUUUAUGUUAUAAAAGUGUCAUUUUGAGGUUUUAUUGUCAUUUUAAUUGGAACAUUUCAUAUUUUUAAUAAAAAAUAUUGUACUUACAAAAGUAAUUUUGAACUUUUCUUUCAUAAUACAGUUCAAAGUUGUGUCUUUACAAGGCCAUUUCCAUAACAUUUUGAGUACUGAAUAAUUAACAUAUGAGAUUAGCCUAUAGAAAACAACCAAAACCAACACUUACUGCAGUCAUUUAUACACUUUCACUUAUUCAAAUACUGCAAAAUUAAAGUCAAAUAACAAAAAUACACAGUAAAUUAGACAUGAAACCAUAGAGGACAUCACUUGGAUCACUUUAGAUCACUCCUCUACAGUCAAAAUCAAAAAUAGAUCAGAUAAUCUCAUAUUAGACAUUACUAAAUUUAGUGUAUCAACAUGAAACUGUUUGUAUGUUAAACCUAGCUGGCAAUGCAGGUUAACCAAACUGAACUCAUUUUCAUUUGCAUAGUUUUUGCAUAGCUGUGCUGAGCUAACAUUAGCAGCUUCACUGUGGAGAGCAACUAUCAACAUCUCUACAUUCUCCAUGUUAAUAUUUACUUGCAUUAUCAACUUGAAAUAAAUCCACCCUGAAUUUGUUAAAAAAAGUCCCAUUUUAAAAGGCAACACAACAUGUAUGCAAUCUUACCUUUCAAGAGAAGUACAUCUAAGAACAAAAGUACAAAUCUAAAAAGACGCCAUGAUAAUGGUGUCAAUAAAUAUAGCUCUCAAUCAUUUAGUCUGGUGGAAA